This 281-nucleotide long non-coding RNA is filed under the name Elaeis guineensis (African oil palm). RNAcentral describes it as "long non-coding RNA (EGUI_LNC009113)". The record is from RNAcentral. Lineage: Eukaryota; Viridiplantae; Streptophyta; Magnoliopsida; Arecales; Arecaceae.
AUUGCUCGUACACCAGCUGGAUCUUCAAUUGCUGCACUUCGGCCUUCCCCUCCCCAAGGGCGACAGAUAGCUCUUCUACGAUUCUCCUCAGGGAUUGGAGUUCGUCGGAAUCCCGAACGGGAGCAAACUGAGCCCCUUCAGCUAGCUGCCUUUGAAGGCGGGCAACUUCAUCGGUCGCCAUCCUGAGCUUCCCCCUGUAUUCAUCCAUCUUCCUACACCAGCCGGCCCGGUACGCGUCAUUGCUCGCCUCGGCAUCCCGGAGCUGUUGCUGAAGGUCGGAG